This 443-nucleotide ribosomal RNA is filed under the name uncultured bacterium. RNAcentral's name for it is "partial 16S ribosomal RNA". It matches the Rfam family "Bacterial small subunit ribosomal RNA", at positions 338 to 795 of the family's 1533-position model. The record is from RNAcentral.
CCUACGGGUGGCUGCAGUGGGGAAUAUUGGGCAAUGGGCGCAAGCCUGACCCAGCAACGCCGCGUGAAGGAAGAAGGCUUUCGGGUUGUAAACUUCUUUUCUCAGGGACGAAGCAAGUGACGGUAACUGAGGAAUAAGCCACGGCUAACUACGUGCCAGCAGCCGCGGUAAUACGUAGGUGGCAAGCGUUAUCCGGAUUUACUGGGUGGAAAGGGCGUGUAGGCGGGACUGCAAGUCAGAUGUGAAAACCACGGGCUCAACCUGUGGCCUGCAUUUGAAACUGUAGUUCUGGAGUACUGGAGAGGCUGACGGAAUUCCAAGUGUAGCGGUGAAAUCCGUAGAUAUUAGGAGGAACACCAGUGGCGAAGGCGAUCUGCUGGACAGCAACUGACGCUGAGGCGCGAAAGCGUGGGUAGCAAACAGGAUUAGAUACCACAGUAGUC